ACGAAGGGGGCGAGCGUUGUUCGGAUUUACUGGGCGUAAAGGGCGCGCAGGCGGCUUUGUUUGUCAGGCGUGAAAGCCCCGGGCUUAACCUGGGAACUGCGCUUGAGACGGCAGGGCUAGAGAUCGGGAGAGGAGAGUGGAAUUCCCAGUGUAGAGGUGAAAUUCGUAGAUAUUGGGAAGAACACCGGUGGCGAAGGCGGCUCUCUGGACCGAGACUGACGCUGAGGCGCGAAAGCGUGGGGAGCAAACAGGA
This 253-nucleotide ribosomal RNA is filed under the name uncultured prokaryote. Its description in RNAcentral is "partial 16S ribosomal RNA". It matches the Rfam family "Bacterial small subunit ribosomal RNA", at positions 525 to 777 of the family's 1533-position model. The record is from RNAcentral.